RNAcentral lists this ribosomal RNA (622 nucleotides) under uncultured bacterium. Its description in RNAcentral is "bacterial SSU rRNA". It matches the Rfam family "Bacterial small subunit ribosomal RNA", at positions 1 to 610 of the family's 1533-position model. The record is from RNAcentral.
GAAUUCGUCGACAACACAGUUUGAUCCUGGCUCAGAUUGAACGCUGGCGGCAGGCCUAACACAUGCAAGUCGAGCGGAUGAUGGGAGCUUGCUCCCGGAUUCAGCGGCGGACGGGUGAGUAAUGCCUAGGAAUCUGCCUGGUAGUGGGGGACAACGUUUCGAAAGGAACGCUAAUACCGCAUACGUCCUACGGGAGAAAGCAGGGGACCUUCGGGCCUUGCGCUAUCAGAUGAGCCUAGGUCGGAUUAGCUAGUUGGUGGGGUAAAGGCCUACCAAGGCGACGAUCCGUAACUGGUCUGAGAGGAUGAUCAGUCACACUGGAACUGAGACACGGUCCAGACUCCUACGGGAGGCAGCAGUGGGGAAUAUUGGACAAUGGGCGAAAGCCUGAUCCAGCCAUGCCGCGUGUGUGAAGAAGGUCUUCGGAUUGUAAAGCACUUUAAGUUGGGAGGAAGGGCAGUAAGUUAAUACCUUGCUGUUUUGACGUUACCAACAGAAUAAGCACCGGCUAACUUCGUGCCAGCAGCCGCGGUAAUACGAAGGGUGCAAGCGUUAAUCGGAAUUACUGGGCGUAAAGCGCGCGUAGGUGGUUUGGUAAGAUGGAUGUGAAAUCCCCGGGGCU